UACGGGGGGGAGCAAGCGUUGUUCGGAUUUACUGGGCGUAAAGGGCGCGUAGGCGGCGUGACAAGUCACUUGUGAAAUCUCCGGGCUUAACUCGGAACGGUCAAGUGAUACUGUCGGACUAGAGUACAGAAGGGGCAACUGGAAUUCUCGGGUGUAGCGGUGAAAUGCGUAGAUAUUGGGAGGAACACCAGUGGCGAAGGCGGCUCACUGGACCGGUUCUGACGCUGAGGCGCGAAAGCGUGGGGAGCAAACGGG
This 255-nucleotide ribosomal RNA is filed under the name uncultured bacterium. RNAcentral describes it as "partial 16S ribosomal RNA". It matches the Rfam family "Bacterial small subunit ribosomal RNA", at positions 524 to 776 of the family's 1533-position model. The record is from RNAcentral.